GAAGGUGGCCUGUGAGGGUUGCUGGAGGUAUCAGAAGUGCGAAUGCUGACAUAAGUAACGAUAAAGCGGGUGAAAAGCCCGCUCGCCGGAAGACCAAGGGUUCCUGUCCAACGUUAAUCGGGGCAGGGUGAGUCGACCCCUAAGGCGAGGCCGAAAGGCGUAGUCGAUGGGAAACGGGUUAAUAUUCCCGUACUUGGUGUUACUGCGAAGGGGGGACGGAGAAGGCUAUGUUGGCCGGGCGACGGUUGUCCCGGUUUAAGCGUGUAGGUGUGUGUUCCAGGUAAAUCCGGUUCACUUUAACACUGAGGCGUGACGACGAGGCACUACGGUGCUGAAGCAACAAAUGCCCUGCUUCCAGGAAAAGCCUCUAAGCAUCAGGUAACAUCAAAUCGUACCCCAAACCGACACAGGUGGUCAGGUAGAGAAUACCAAGGCGCUUGAGAGAACUCGGGUGAAGGAACUAGGCAAAAUGGUGCCGUAACUUCGGGAGAAGGCACGCUGACACGUAGGUGAAGUGAUUUACUCAUGGAGCUGAAGUCAGUCGAAGAUACCAGCUGGCUGCAACUGUUUAUUAAAAACACAGCACUGUGCAAACACGAAAGUGGACGUAUACGGUGUGACGCCUGCCCGGUGCCGGAAGGUUAAUUGAUGGGGUCAGCGCAAGCGAAGCUCCUGAUCGAAGCCCCGGUAAACGGCGGCCGUAACUAUAACGGUCCUAAGGUAGCGAAAUUCCUUGUCGGGUAAGUUCCGACCUGCACGAAUGGCGUAAUGAUGGCCAGGCUGUCUCCACCCGAGACUCAGUGAAAUUGAACUCGCUGUGAAGAUGCAGUGUACCCGCGGCAAGACGGAAAGACCCCGUGAACCUUUACUAUAGCUUGACACUGAACAUUGAGCCUUGAUGUGUAGGAUAGGUGGGAGGCUUUGAAGCGUGGACGCCAGUCUGCGUGGAGCCGACCUUGAAAUACCACCCUUUAAUGUUUGAUGUUCUAACGUGGACCCGUGAUCCGGGUUGCGGACAGUGUCUGGUGGGUAGUUUGACUGGGGCGGUCUCCUCCUAAAGAGUAACGGAGGAGCACGAAGGUUGGCUAAUCCUGGUCGGACAUCAGGAGGUUAGUGCAAUGGCAUAAGCCAGCUUGACUGCGAGCGUGACGGCGCGAGCAGGUGCGAAAGCAGGUCAUAGUGAUCCGGUGGUUCUGAAUGGAAGGGCCAUCGCUCAACGGAUAAAAGGUACUCCGGGGAUAACAGGCUGAUACCGCCCAAGAGUUCAUAUCGACGGCGGUGUUUGGCACCUCGAUGUCGGCUCAUCACAUCCUGGGGCUGAAGUAGGUCCCAAGGGUAUGGCUGUUCGCCAUUUAAAGUGGUACGCGAGCUGGGUUUAGAACGUCGUGAGACAGUUCGGUCCCUAUCUGCCGUGGGCGCUGGAGAACUGAGGGGGGCUGCUCCUAGUACGAGAGGACCGGAGUGGACGCAUCACUGGUGUUCGGGUUGUCAUGCCAAUGGCACUGCCCGGUAGCUAAAUGCGGAAGAGAUAAGUGCUGAAAGCAUCUAAGCACGAAACUUGCCCCGAGAUGAGUUCUCCCUGAGACUUAGAGUCUCCUGAAGGAACGUUGAAGACGACGACGUUGAUAGGCCGGGUGUGUAAGCGCAGCGAUGCGUUGAGCUAACCGGUACUAAUGAACCGUGAGGCUUAACCUUACAACGCCGAAG
This 1707-nucleotide ribosomal RNA is filed under the name Salmonella enterica. Its description in RNAcentral is "bacterial LSU rRNA". It matches the Rfam family "Bacterial large subunit ribosomal RNA", at positions 1252 to 2925 of the family's 2925-position model. RNAcentral also lists the same sequence under 1 other name. Lineage: Bacteria; Pseudomonadati; Pseudomonadota; Gammaproteobacteria; Enterobacterales; Enterobacteriaceae. The record is from RNAcentral.